GAACAUACAAAUGCUUUCAAUGCUUCCAAUUCAAUGCUUACAAAUGCUUUCAAUGCAGCAUCUUCUUCAGGUUUGCAGGGGCUCAGGGGAGCAGUCGAACAGAGUUCAGCUGUUGCAAUGGAACAAUUAAUCAAUAAAUAUGACCUUGUCUUAAAGAGAGACCAGUUAAGUCGUACGAAUGUGCAUUUCCUAGACUUGCAGAUUGAAUUGCAGAAUGGAAAUAUUAGAACAAAGGUUUAAAGAAACAACUUAUAAGCUGAUCUUAAUACCAAGAUGGUCGAAAGACCCUAUGAGCUACAAAAAAUCGGCAUUUAGAAGCCUAUUUAGGAGAGCGCUUAUAUACAGUAAUGAUGGCAGAGACCUGAAUGAUGAGCUUAACUAUAUACUGAAGGUAGGUAGACAGCAUGGGUAUAGCAAGCCUUUUUUAAACCACAUCUCGAAACAAGUUAAGGAGGGUAAGGUUCAAGAAAAAUGUGUAAAGAACAGAGAAGCUGAAGUCAGAUAUGCAGUAGUCCCAUACCACCUGAGAAACCUAAGGCCAGUUAGAAAACUGCUUAAGAAAAGUAA
RNAcentral lists this long non-coding RNA (567 nucleotides) under Androctonus crassicauda. Lineage: Eukaryota; Metazoa; Arthropoda; Arachnida; Scorpiones; Buthidae. The record is from RNAcentral.